GGUUCCUGCUGGUUUCACAUUUAUUUUAAUAAUCAGAUGGAGCUUCAAUGUUUCAUUAAAUGUGAUUAUUAUUAUAUUUUACUGUAGAUAGAAGCUGAUUCUGAGUCAGCCAGGGGGAAGGACUGACAGAAAGAGAAUAAAAUCCAGGAUUUAUUACAGGAAUCUUUCACUGCUUCCUCUACUAGUAGUUUAAUGUGUUUCAACCUCUGGUUCCCAACCUUCAGGGGUCGCUGGGUCAGUCUGACGGGUCACCAGGUGAAGAACAAGUCUUUAGUUCAUAUAAACUGCCAGUGGUUCCAGGUGGGUCCAGGGGUCCAGCUUCAGGGCACCUUGACCCGGGUGGAGCUCCAGUAGACGGGCUGAGGGACCAACACCUGGACGUGACACGUUGGACAUGACUGUUUCCUCCACAGCCACUCCUCGAUGCACUGCAGAGACACAUCACAGUCAGGUACACCUCCAUGACACACCUGGACACCUUUAAAGGCACAUUUACCUGCACAAAGUCACCUCACACCUGAAGAGGAUCAGGUAGAGCAAACAGAGGCUCCCUGAGGGCUCAGGUGUGAUCAUCGGGUGAUCUGGCCAUGGUCUGACCUGUGUGUGUCAGGUUUAUUACCUGAGUUUAUCAGGUGUGUUACCUGUGUGUCAGGUGUGUUAGCUCUUUGUGGAAGGUGUGUUACCUGUGUCUCUCAGGUGUGUUACCUGUGUUUCUCAGGUGUGUUAGGUGUGUUACCUCUUUGUGGAAGGUGUGUUACCUGUGUUUCUCAGGUGUGUUAGGUGUGUUACCUCUUUGUGGAAGGUGUGUGUACACUGCAGCUCUCUGGUGCCGCCGCUGCCUUGCUGUAAGUCGUUGUGACAGAUCAGACAAACGCUGUAGGCGUCGCUCUGCAACACAAACAGGGUUUCUGGUCACAACGCGUCCUGUUGGAUUAAAAUCAUCGUGUCUUUAAACCCACCAGAGACAUGACGUUUCGUCUCCUGAACUGGCUCCGCCUCACGGAGGGCGUGGCCUCUGGGAUUGUGGGUAUGAGGGAGGGUCUUCGCUCAGCGGUGGGGGCGGUGGCUUCCUGUGGGGAUGGAAGGAGGCGGCGGGAGGAUGAACGAUGCAGCAACACCUUCGCCGUUAACGGAGCCCGAGUGGACGAGUGCAGACGAGACAGCUGCAUGGCAGAGAGCGUCGACUGGAAACACAAUCAAGAUUCAUUUAGCUUUUAGACACAUCAGAGGAAUUUACAGGUGAAUCACCAACACAUGAUGGUAAAUAUCAUAAAUAAAAGACCAAAUAUAACAACAGAUUUCAAACAGCAAGACUCAGUAAAACCUGCAGUUUACAAAUACAGUGAGUACAGAUCUGUGAAGGAUUGUGACUUCAAUGAAACUGCAUUAUUCAUGUAGAACAGCAGAAUAUUUCCUCUGAUGAUCAGAAACUCACUCUUUACAAAGACUGUAUUUACAAUUCAGAACCCAAGGUAGAACCUCAGAGAACCAAAGAGUACAGCUGUGAUCCCAAACAGUCUGACUGAUGAACAUGGUUCUAAAUGAGCUGAGAACAGCAGAACCUUCUCAGUCCUGGACCUAUGGACUGGGUCUAUCUAUGUCUGCAUCAUGGCUUCACAUGGAAAAGAACUGAACAGAGGAAGAGAAACAUCUGACUGAGAGACUCGACAAAGAUGGAAAAAGAUCCAGGAAGAUCAGUGAGACACUAAAAACCAGUGAAGCACAGAGUCAGCAGUAAUCAGGAGGUCUAGGAGGAGUCAUAGUACCACUAAUCAGGAGGUCUAGAAGGAGUCAUAGUACCACUAAUCAGGAGGUCUAGAAGGAAUCUUAGUACCACUAAUCAGGAGGUCUAGAAGGAGUCUUAGUACCACUAAUCAGGAGGUCUAGAAGGACUCGUAGAACCACUAAUCAGGAGAUCUAGAAGGAGUCAUAGUACCACUAAUCAGGAGGUCUAGAAGGAGUCAUAGAACCACUAAUCAGGAGUUCUAGAAGGAGUCAUAGUACCACUAAUCAGGAGGUAUAGAAGGAGUCAU
Molecule: long non-coding RNA, 2033 nt
Organism: Amphiprion ocellaris (clown anemonefish)
Lineage: Eukaryota; Metazoa; Chordata; Actinopteri; Pomacentridae
Source: Ensembl